RNAcentral lists this ribosomal RNA (413 nucleotides) under uncultured bacterium. RNAcentral's name for it is "bacterial SSU rRNA". It matches the Rfam family "Bacterial small subunit ribosomal RNA", at positions 362 to 772 of the family's 1533-position model. The record is from RNAcentral.
UAUUGGUCAAUGGGCGCAGGCCUGAACCAGCCAAGUAGCGUGAAGGAUGACGGCCCUAUGGGUUGUAAACCUCUUUUAUAGGGGAAUAAAGUUUGGUAUGUAUACCAUUUUGUAUGUACCAUAUGACUAAGGAUCGGCUAACUACGUGCCAGCAGACGCGGUAAUACGGAGGAUCCGAGCGUUAUCCGGAUUUAUUGGGUUUAAAGGGAGCGUAGGUGGAUUGUUAAGUCAGUUGUGAAAGUUUGCGGCUCAACCGUAAAAUUGCAGUUGAUACUGGCUGUCUUGAGUACAGUAGAGGUGGGCGGAAUUCGUGGUGUGGCGGUGAAAUGCUUAGAUAUCACGAAGAACUCCGAUUGCGAAGGCAGCUCACUGGACUGCAACUGACACUGAUGCUCGAAAGUGUGGGUAUCAAA